RNAcentral lists this ribosomal RNA (468 nucleotides) under uncultured bacterium. Its description in RNAcentral is "partial 16S ribosomal RNA". It matches the Rfam family "Bacterial small subunit ribosomal RNA", at positions 28 to 507 of the family's 1533-position model. The record is from RNAcentral.
GACGAACGCUGGCGGCGUGCUUAACACAUGCAAGUCGAACGGAAAGGCCCUGCUUUUGUUGGGUGCACGAGUGGCGAACGGGUGAGUAACACGUGAGUAACCUGCCCCUGUCUUUGGGAUAACUCCAGGAAACUGGGGCUAAUACCGGAUAUGAGCUCCUGCUCCAUGGUGGGGGUUGGAAAGUUUCGGCGGUUGUGGAUGGUCUCGCGGCUUAUCAGCUUGUUGGUGGGGUAGUGGCUUACUAAGGGUUUGACGGCUAGCCGGCCUGAGAAGGUGGCCAGGGACAUUGGGCCUACGAGACGGCGCAGACUCGUACGGGAGGCAACAGUGGAGAGUAUGGCAGAGUGAGGGGGAGCCUGAGACGGAGACGUCGCGUGCGGGAUGACGGGCUUCUGGUUGUAAACCGCUUUCGCCGGAAACGUAGCGGGAGUGACGGUAAUGGGUAAAGAAGCACCGGCUAACUACGUG